GGGCGCAGUUGCGGUCAGCGGCGGCGUCGGUUCACAAGUAGAACGGCCUGCCGCCCACUCGUGCGAAGAGGGAGGGGAGUGAGCAUGGAGGGAGCGGUGGUGGUGGAAAGGGAGAGGAUGCCGCGGCCGGAGCUGGAGGCGGAGGCAUGCGGGGGGUGGCCUUGGUGGGGCGCCGGCGUGUGAGGAACGCCGCCGCAGCAGUAGGGGCCUGGGGGUGGUGGCAGCGGCGAGAGGCGAUCUGUGCCGCCCGAGCCGAGCAACCCUGGGUUUAGGACGGCGGCGUCGUGGCUAGACGGACCUAGGCGAACGGCCUGCGACGGAGGAGGCGGCCGCCAUCCAUGAGCGUUCUGUCCGGCGCGGGUCUUUCGUCCCGGAAAGAAGAGGCCAUCGUGCUUUGCAAUCUAGGGUUCGUUUCGUUUCUCCUUUGUAAGGGGACACAAGGGGUAGGUUAGAAAUGGUACCUUUGGCGGUCGUUUUUGCAGUGGUUACACCACGCGAGGUACUUCGACGAGUUCCACCUGCCGAUGACACGGUGGUUCUGGUACCCGUUGCUGCUGACGUAGUUUAGGUGAGUGUUGUAACCGCCCAUACUCACCCUCUAGACGUAGAUGGGGCGGUACUACGGCGCGCGUGCGCUGCCGUGGGGCACCCACCGCCACUUCGAGCACAAGGAGUCGCUCUGGACGGGCAGGUAGCACUCCCGCUUGGACUCGACAGCAGACCGACUAGGCUCUUCGCACGAAGCUGGCAGACUUCUUUUCUCACACAGUACAUAUAAGUUGGCAAGUACCCAUAGUGCAACAGACGUCUACACGAGCGGAAAACAGUUUCUUCUAACAAGUGAAGGUCAAGCAGAGUACAGCUGCCCGUCGGACCGUAGUAGACCAAUAGAGUCCUUACUAAGAAAAUGGCACGAUACGCAUCAGUGGCACGACUUCCUCCUAAACGGUCGUGCUCGUCGUUGACACGGCCCAUUUCUUCACUGACCCAGUAGUGGAUCGAACGUUGUGGUGGAGCGACUCGAGGACUUGUCACCCAACCUUCGCCUACAGUGUAAAGAGCACAGGCCGUUCAGGAAGCGACGUGUGUUCCAGUAAGAACGACGUUCCAGGGGACAUGACUACCGGCUCAAGAAACCGGUGUACUUCCUCUGCUCGAGAGUCGCGCAGCUCUAGUUCCUGUAACUACGCCACCAUAAGUUCAGCAACGAAAUGAAGUAGAUGUGACUGAGACACGACCUUAAGCUAGACGUCGUACUCCGCCAGUGCUACAACCGGGUCGUAAAUGAACGUCGACGACUGUUCAUACCUGACCUGUCCGAGUUCCUCUAGACGCUUCCGUUCGAGAGACUACCGUAGUCAUAGCUGUGCCGUCGUUGAUGAGACCGUAAUCGUCUCGUCGUGUUGACGGACGUCGAGUUCCACUUUACGCAGCUGAAGUAGCAAUCGUGAGGACGUUAAGAACUACGACACAACCGCUGACUACCUAUAUUCGUAGAUCUCCGUUCGACGGGAUACCACAACGGACUCGAAGAGUUCAGACGCGCCCCGUCUUUCUCGACUGUCCAUUGGUACUCCCGCGGUUUACAGGUUCUAAACUAAUACGUACAUAAGACAAACACGAACGUGAACACGGACAUAGGUGGAUUUCACCUUUUGGAAUACAGGUAGAUAUAUACAAUACUCGUUGAAUGACGAGCUCAAACCGGAGGUUAAACUAAAUUAAAUCACGGUUUAACGGGACCUAACCCAUAGACAAAGGGAACGAACAGUUAUAACCGUGCUCGACUACG
Molecule: ribosomal RNA, 1792 nt
Filed under: Triticum aestivum (bread wheat)
Lineage: Eukaryota; Viridiplantae; Streptophyta; Magnoliopsida; Poales; Poaceae
Description: partial small subunit ribosomal RNA
Source: RNAcentral